CCACUUCCUGUGUAAAUGAAAUUGAACAAUAAAAUUUUGUUCUUUUUCAAUCUCCCACCCUCUGCCCUCCCUCUAUCCCCCCCCCCCCCUCUCUCUCUCGCUCUCUUAGUUCCUCCUGAGGUCUCUCUGCUGCAGAAGGACUCCUUCUCUCCUGUCAUUACCUGUCAUGUGACCGGAUUCUACCCCCGUGACAUCAUGGUAACCUGGCAGAGAAACGGAGAGGACCUGGAUGUGGACGUAGAGCUGGGGGAGACAGUGCCCAACGAGGACGGAACUUUCCAGACCAGAUCUCACCUGAGAGUGAAGCCUGAGGACUGGAAGAGCCGAGAGUACACCUGUACUGUACAGCACAAGAGCCUGAAACAGGACAUCGUUCUGCCUGUCAGAGAGGAGAACAUCAAGAGGAACACAGAUAUCAAGACACAUAGCUUCAAUCCUGACGGCAGCAGCCCCCCCAUGGGCGUCAUCAUCGGCUGUGUGGUGGGCGCUUUCAUCCUCAUCCUCCCCGUCAUCGGUUUCGUCAGAAGAAAAGCUCAGUCUCUGGAUUAGCGGUGGUCGAAGAACCAGGAGAGCCACGCACAGCCGACGUGUCCUGCAGAGAAAGUCCCAGGAACAAGGAUCAGGGUGCGUGUUUUGGAUCCAACCAGGAGAAAAGGGCGAACGGCUUCCCCUUUUCCACCACAACUCCCACAGACUUUGCACUGGAAACCAGGAAACAUUUCCAAAAACGCAACCAAAGGACACUCAAGUAAGGGUAACUCUGGGCUUAGUAUAAUUAGCGACAGACCAAAUGUAGCCAAGUUUAUUAUUGGAUGUACGUAACUGGCUGUUAUUGUCUUUUAAUAUUAAUGUAAACGUUCUGUAUGUUCGGUUGGCUUUAAGCCAUCCACUGCACGUCGUUAGUUUUAAUAUAUGUCACGCAUUGAACAUAUCUUGCAUAUGAUCUAUUUUAAGUACUAACCGGUCAUAACACGGCAUGUUGCUCUCUAGCAAACACAAAUAGAUAACUAUUCAGUUAGCCUGUAUCUGUUUGGUACGCUUCAUACGCCAUUGUUUUUCACUAGCUUUGUCUAGAUUCAAAAACCCCUCCAUUCAUACUCCAUCUUGUUCCUUUGUUCUUCGUGAAUACGUGUCCGCGGUACACAAGAGAUGCACUUCCUCCUAAACUGUACAAAAUAUACAAAUAUAAGAAAAAUACAUUACCACAAAUUUUCAGAAAUUAUAAUGUGCGGUCCUUUUAGGACAAGGACCAACAGCCCCAAUUGCGGCUCAAUAUGUCUCAGCUUGCUAUAACCUGAGGGACACUGAGUGACCAUCCUACAUAAUUAUAAUUAUCUAUUUAUUUAUUUAUGUAUAAUAAUAAUAAUAAUUAUUAUUAUUAUUUAUUAAUAUUAUUUAUUAUUUAUUAUUAUUUAUUAUUAUUAUUAUUAUUGUUAUUAUUAUUAUUAUUAUUAUUAUUAUUAUAUUUGAUUUGAUUUGAUUUUUUUUCUUUAAAUGCUUCUGCCGAUUGAACAUUAAUAUUGUUAUUGUUCUGUUUUUUUAUAGAAUGUUCAACUGUUAUUAGUAUUCCACUGCAAAUACGUAUUUUGAAUUGAUUUAUAAUGCUUUAGCAAUAUGUACGUAUGUAUUUCCUGCCAAUAAAGCAAUUUGAAUUUGAA
Molecule: non-coding RNA, 1658 nt
Organism: Anguilla rostrata (American eel)
Lineage: Eukaryota; Metazoa; Chordata; Actinopteri; Anguilliformes; Anguillidae
Source: the annotation of a RefSeq genome assembly